AGAGAGGUUUUGAAGCGACAGAAAGUGUGGUCUGAGGAGGAGUGAGAGAACCAGAAUGGAGGCUGACGUGGUGCUAUCAAAAGGUCAAGUGAAGAAAGAUAACUUUAUUAGCAGAGCGGCUUUCAAACUCCACUGCUAGAAAUACAAAAGAUGAUGGAAAGGCCAAGCAGAAACAAGAGAAGGGCUGUUCCCUACCUUCUGGGCUUUCACCAACAUCUGGAAAAAGACAGAGAAGCCUCUUGCAGAGAGAAGAAUCUGUUCCUUCCAACAGCUGACUUGGUCACAAGAGGCGUGCUCAAGGUACCAGCGUUGUGGCUGGCUCACCUUCUUCACAAUCACCUGCAGCAGCGAAGAGAGACACGCGUGCU
Molecule: long non-coding RNA, 368 nt
Filed under: Mus musculus (house mouse)
Lineage: Eukaryota; Metazoa; Chordata; Mammalia; Rodentia; Muridae
Description: predicted gene, 49926
Source: RNAcentral